AUGCACAGCGCCAUCUUUGGGCUGAACCGGGGCCUCGCGGCGAUCCAGGAGGACAUGUACCGGGCGGAAGCGGCAGCGAGGUGGCUCGAGGCGGUGGUGUCGGCCCCAGUGGACCUCGCCAAGGACCUCCACAAGUUGCAUGGACGAUGGAGGCUGAUUUACAACAGCCCCUUCUCGUCACGGACGCUCGGUGGAAAUCGCCUAGGCCCGUCCACCGGCCUCCUCCUCCCCAUCACGCGGGAAUCCAAGAACCGGAUGGGGGAGUCAGGUCCACGAGAUGCAGAGCAUGGCGGCGUCCUAAUCCUCUUCUAG
RNAcentral lists this ribosomal RNA (312 nucleotides) under Triticum aestivum (bread wheat). RNAcentral's name for it is "partial small subunit ribosomal RNA". Lineage: Eukaryota; Viridiplantae; Streptophyta; Magnoliopsida; Poales; Poaceae. The record is from RNAcentral.